AACGAACGCUGGCGGCAUGCCUAACACAUGCAGGUCGAACGAGACCUUCGGGUCUAGUGGCGCACGGGUGCGUAACGCGUGGGAACCUGCCCUUAGGUUCGGAAUAACUCUCCGAAAGGGGUGCUAAUACCGGAUAAUGUCUUCGGACCAAAGAUUUAUCGCCUUUGGAUGGGCCCGCGUUGGAUUAGCUAGUUGGUAGGGUAAAAGCCUACCAAGGCGACGAUCCAUAGCUGGUCUGAGAGGAUGAUCAGCCACACUGGGACUGAGACACGGCCCAGACUCCUACGGGAGGCAGCAGUGGGGAAUAUUGGACAAUGGGCGAAAGCCUGAUCCAGCAAUGCCGCGUGAGUGAUGAAGGCCUUAGGGUUGUAAAGCUCUUUUACCCGGGAUGAUAAUGACAGUACCGGGAGAAUAAGCGCCGGCUAACUCCGUG
This 433-nucleotide ribosomal RNA is filed under the name uncultured bacterium. RNAcentral's name for it is "partial 16S ribosomal RNA". It matches the Rfam family "Bacterial small subunit ribosomal RNA", at positions 29 to 507 of the family's 1533-position model. The record is from RNAcentral.